UCCCUUCUAUUGUUGGUCUGAGUUCU
This 26-nucleotide non-coding RNA is filed under the name Rattus norvegicus (Norway rat). Lineage: Eukaryota; Metazoa; Chordata; Mammalia; Rodentia; Muridae. The record is from RNAcentral.